RNAcentral lists this ribosomal RNA (472 nucleotides) under uncultured organism. RNAcentral's name for it is "partial 16S ribosomal RNA". It matches the Rfam family "Bacterial small subunit ribosomal RNA", at positions 335 to 799 of the family's 1533-position model. The record is from RNAcentral.
ACUCCUACGGGAGGCAGCAGUAGGGAAUCUUCCACAAUGGGUGCAAACCUGAUGGAGCAAUGCCGCGUGAGUGAAGAAGGUCUUCGGAUCGUAAAGCUCUGUUGUUAGAGAAGAACACGUGCUAGGUAACUACUAGCGCCUUGACGGUAUCUAACCAGAAAGUCACGGCUAACUACGUGCCAGCAGCCGCGGUAAUACGUAGGUGACAAGCGUUGUCCGGAUUUAUUGGGCGUAAAGGGAGCGCAGGCGGUCUGUUUAGUCUAAUGUGAAAGCCCACGGCUUAACCGUGGAACGGCAUUGGAAACUGACAGACUUGAAUGUAGAAGAGGAAAAUGGAAUUCCAAGUGUAGCGGUGGAAUGCGUAGAUAUUUGGAGGAACACCAGUGGCGAAGGCGAUUUUCUGGUCUAACAUUGACGCUGAGGCUCGAAAGCGUGGGGAGCGAACAGGAUUAGAUACCCCUGUAGUCCCAUG